RNAcentral lists this ribosomal RNA (2135 nucleotides) under gut metagenome. RNAcentral's name for it is "bacterial LSU rRNA". It matches the Rfam family "Bacterial large subunit ribosomal RNA", at positions 14 to 2163 of the family's 2925-position model. The record is from RNAcentral.
AGGGCGCAUGGCGGAUGCCUUGGCUCUCGGAGGCGAUGAAGGACGUGAUAAGCUGCGAUAAGCCGCGGGUAGGUGCAAAUGACCUUUGAUCCGCGGAUUUCCGAAUGGGACAACCCAAUAUCUUGAAGAGGUAUUAUCCUACUAAGUAGGAGGCAAACGCAGGGAACUGAAACAUCUUAGUACCUGUAGGAAGAGAAAAUAAAUAAUGAUUCCCCUAGUAGUGGCGAGCGAACGGGGAACAGCCCAAACCAUAUGUGUUACGGCAUGUAUGGGGUUGUAGGACCACGUCGUGGGACGACAGUUAGUGAGUAGAAUGAUCUGGAAAGUUCAGUCAUAGACGGUGAUAACCCGGUAUACGAAGCUAACUUAACCCUAGUGGUAUCCUGAGUAGCGCGGGACACGAGGAAUCUUGCGUGAAUCUGCCGGGACCAUCCGGUAAGGCUAAAUACUCCCGAGAGACCGAUAGCGAACCAGUACUGUGAAGGAAAGGUGAAAAGCACUUCGAACAGAAGAGUGAAAUAGUCCCUGAAACCAUGCGCCUACAAGCGGUCGGAGCAGUGUAAACUGUGACGGCGUGCCUUUUGCAUAAUGAACCUACGAGUUACUUUUUCCGGCAAGGUUAAGGGUCUUGAGACCUGCAGCCGAAGCGAAAGCGAGUCUGAACAGGGCGGAUAGUCGGAAGGAGUAGACGCGAAACCAAGUGAUCUACCCUUGGCCAGGUUGAAGGACAGGUAACACUGUCUGGAGGACCGAACCGAUAAGCGUUGAAAAGCUUCCGGAUGAGCUGAGGGUGGGGGUGAAAGGCUAAUCAAACUUGGAGAUAGCUCGUACUCCCCGAAAUGCAUUUAGGUGCAGCCUUGAUUUAUACUAAUAUGAGGUAGAGCGACUGAUAAGAUGCGAGGGCUUCGCCGCCUAUCAAGUCUUGACAAACUCCGAAUGCGUAUUAGUUCUAUAUCAGGAGUGAGGGCAUGGGUGCUAAGGUCCAUGUCCUAAAGGAGAACAAUCCGGACCAUCAGCUAAGGUCCCGAAAUAACCACUAAGUUGAUCUAACGAAGUCAGAUUGCUAAGACAGCUAGGAUGUUGGCUUGGAAGCAGCCAUUCAUUUAAAGAGUGCGUAACAGCUCACUAGUCGAGGAGUUUGGCGUGGAUAAUAAUCGGGCAUAAGUGGUUUACCGAAGCUAUGGGAUGUUUAAUACAUCGGUAGGGGAGCAUUCCACUCCGCGUCGAAGGUGAAGCGUGAGCUUUGCUGGAGCGUGUGGAAAAGCAAAUGUAGGUAUAAGUAACGAUAAAGGGGGUGAGAAACCCCCUCGCCGAAAGACUAAGGUUUCCUGAUCAACGCUAAUCGGAUCAGGGUUAGUCGGGUCCUAAGGCUCAGCCGAACGGUGAGGCCGAUGGCAGAACAGGUUAAUAUUCCUGUACUACCUUAAAGAGUGACGUGGAGACGGAGGCGUGACAGUGCCGCGGACUGACGGAAUAGUCCGUUGAAGGGUGUAGAUGUUGAUCGGGGUAGGCAAAUCCGCUCCGAGAGUCGAACCUGAUAGUAUGGAGCGUUCUUCGGAACAAUCCAAUAGUGCAUGUAAACAUACUCCCAAGAAAAUCCGCUAAACUUAAUCUUUAAGGUACCCGUACCGCAAACGGACACACGUAGUCGGGUUGAAUAUACUAAGGCGCUUGAGUGAUUCACGGUUAAGGAACUAGGCAAAUUGACCCUGUAACUUCGGGAUAAAGGGUCCCCACUGUAAGGUGGGGCGCAGAGAAUCGGUCCAGGCAACUGUUUAACAAAAACACAGGGCUGUGCAAAAUUGAAAGAUGAAGUAUACAGCCUGACACCUGCCCGGUGCUGGAAGGUUAAGAGGAGAUGUCAUCGCAAGAGAAGCAUUGAAUUGAAGCCCCAGUAAACGGCGGCCGUAACUAUAACGGUCCUAAGGUAGCGAAAUUCCUUGUCGGGUAAGUUCCGACCUGCACGAAUGGUGUAAUGAUCUGGACACUGUCUCAACCGUGAGCUCAGUGAAAUUGUAGUAUCGGUGAAGAUGCCGAUUACCCGCGAUGGGACGAAAAGACCCCGUGAACCUUUACUAUAGCUUAACAUUGAAUUUGGGUAAUUGAUGUGUAGGAUAGGCCGGAGGCUUUGAAGC